This 446-nucleotide ribosomal RNA is filed under the name uncultured bacterium. RNAcentral's name for it is "bacterial SSU rRNA". It matches the Rfam family "Bacterial small subunit ribosomal RNA", at positions 335 to 799 of the family's 1533-position model. The record is from RNAcentral.
ACUCCUACGGGAGGCAGCAGUGGGGAAUCUUAGACAAUGGGGGAAAGCCCUGAUCUAGCCAUGCCGCGUGAGUGACGAAGGCCCUAGGGUCGUAAAGCUCUUUCAGCUGUGAAGAUAAUGACGGUAGCAGCAGAAGAAACCCCGGCUAACUCCGUGCCAGCAGCCGCGGUAAUACGGAGGGGUUAGCGUUGUUCGGAAUUACUGGGCGUAAAGCGCGCGUAGGCGGACUAGUCAGUCAGAGGUGAAAUCCCAGGGCUCAACCCUGGAACUGCCUUUGAUACUGCUAGUCUUGAGUUCGAGAGAGGUGAGUGGAAUUCCGAGUGUAGAGGUGAAAUUCGUAGAUAUUCGGAGGAACACCAGUGGCGAAGGCGGCUCACUGGCUCGAUACUGACGCUGAGGUGCGAAAGUGUGGGAGCAAACAGGAUUAGAUACCCUGGUAGGCUCUG